RNAcentral lists this ribosomal RNA (274 nucleotides) under uncultured bacterium. RNAcentral's name for it is "partial 16S ribosomal RNA". It matches the Rfam family "Bacterial small subunit ribosomal RNA", at positions 523 to 796 of the family's 1533-position model. The record is from RNAcentral.
AUACGGAGGGUGCGAGCGUUAUCCGGAUUUAUUAGGUUUAAAGGGUGUGUAGGCGGGAGCCUAAGUUAGUGGUGAAAUCUCACAGCUUAACUGUGAAACUGCCAUUGAAACUGGGUUUCUUGAGUAUAGUUGAGGUAGGCGGAAUGUGUAAUGUAGCGGUGAAAUGCAUAGAUAUUACACAGAACACCGAUUGCGAAGGCAGCUUACUAAGCUAUUACUGACGCUGAUGCACGAAAGCGUGGGUAGCGAACAGGAUUAGAAACCCCAGUAGUCC